GUAAGUGUCGAAGCCAGCUUAACUGCGAGACAGACACGAGGAGCAGGUACGAAAGUAGCGCAUAGUGAUCCGGUGGUUAUGAAUGGAAGGGCCAUCGCUCAACGGAUAAAAGGUACUCCGGGGAUAACAGGCUGAUACCGCCCAAGAGUUCAUAUCGACGGCGGUGUUUGGCACCUCGAUGUCGGCUCAUCACAUCCUGGGGCUGAAGUCGGUCCCAAGGGUAUGGCUGUUCGCCAUUUAAAGUGGUACGCGAGCUGGGUUUAGAACGUCGUGAGACAGUUCGGUCCCUAUCUGCCGUGGGCGUUUGAGAAUUGAGAGGGGUUGCUCCUAGUACGAGAGGACCGGAGUGAACGAACCGCUGGUGUUCGG
This 369-nucleotide ribosomal RNA is filed under the name Pseudoalteromonas sp. S558. Its description in RNAcentral is "partial 23S ribosomal RNA". It matches the Rfam family "Bacterial large subunit ribosomal RNA", at positions 2351 to 2719 of the family's 2925-position model. The record is from RNAcentral. Lineage: Bacteria; Pseudomonadati; Pseudomonadota; Gammaproteobacteria; Alteromonadales; Pseudoalteromonadaceae.